Molecule: non-coding RNA, 45 nt
Organism: Trichobilharzia regenti
Lineage: Eukaryota; Metazoa; Platyhelminthes; Trematoda; Strigeidida; Schistosomatidae
Source: Rfam
AUCCAGAUGAGGAGUCCCAAGUAGGACAAAAUGCGCAUCGUGGAU